UUUUUUGACAUGUAAAAUUUAUUUUUGAUAUUAUCUCUCAGAAAAAAAUUAAUAUUAUCAAGCAUUUAAAUUAUUAUUAUUAUUAUUUUGCACGUUGAAGGUGCUCUUAUUCUCUAAUUUCUCUAUAUAUUUAUUGUUAUUAUUAUUUUCUCUGGCGGGAUUGAACAGAGCUUAAUCACGAGAUUACCAAGUCCAUUAUCGUAUGAUUGUCUUAGGAUUUUACUCAAAGCGAAGGUAUGUGAAGUCAAAGAGAAGUCUUCAACUGAGAGAAGCAAAGCCUAGAACCCAGCUCUAUUCGAAUAACACAUCAAGGGCACCGACAAUGGCUAUGCCAUGGGGCAUGACUCUCUGGAUGGCGAAGAUGGUCUGGAUCGCUCUGGCUGGUUGGGUUUCUUCUUGCUUGACCGUUGCUGACGAGGUUGCCGGUUCUCUAAGAACCGGAGAUAUUGGCCCUUUUCAUGUUGGUUGAUUCUACCGUCAAAUUCUCACCAACCCAAAAUGGCCCUGUGUCUGAUUUGGUGAUUGAUUGAAUAUUCAUUUCAUCUGUCAAAUUAAAGUUCUGUUCUGCCGCUUCUCUGGGAAGUUUAUGAUCAGCAGUGCAUUUGACCAUCCAUUGGGUGUUGGUGAUUUAAUUCUAUGGUGCAAUAGAAGACCGACUAUCUUUCUCCUUCUGCAGAUUCGGUACAUGCCAAAUGUAAGAUGAAAGAAGGGAGAAUGAAAGUGUCACCUCUACAUCUUAUGGAGUUUGUUAUGUAGUCUCAUUAGAUGUUAAUAAUAUUUAUAUAAUUUUUCAUUUUUAUUUUUUACACUGAUGGAAUUUUUUAUUUUUUAUUUUUGUAUCGUAACAAUAAAUAUGUAUUGUUUUCUUUUUUUUUUUUUUGGUGAAUAAAUAUGUAUUGUUUUCUAUGUUAUGAUUGGAUUGGUGGUUUUGAUAGC
Molecule: RNA transcript, 936 nt
Organism: Ziziphus jujuba (common jujube)
Lineage: Eukaryota; Viridiplantae; Streptophyta; Magnoliopsida; Rosales; Rhamnaceae
Exons: 4
Source: RefSeq, a predicted model, not a curated record